RNAcentral lists this ribosomal RNA (253 nucleotides) under uncultured bacterium. RNAcentral's name for it is "partial 16S ribosomal RNA". It matches the Rfam family "Bacterial small subunit ribosomal RNA", at positions 524 to 776 of the family's 1533-position model. The record is from RNAcentral.
UACAGAGACUGCAAGCGUUAUUCGGAUUCACUGGGCGUAAAGGGUGCGCAGGCGGCCGUGCGUGUGAGGCGUGAAAGCCCGGGGCUUAACCCCGGAAUUGCACCUCAAACUACAUGGCUAGAGCAUUGGAGAGGGUAGCGGAAUUCACGGUGUAGCAGUGAAAUGCGCAGAUAUCGGGAGGAACACCAGUAGCGAAGGCGGCACUCUGGGCCGGUACUGACGCUGAGGAGCGAAAGCGUGGGGAGCAAACAGG